AGAAAAUUUAAUGGUCAUCGCUGCUCAUUUCAUCAUCUUCGUCAAAAUAUUUUUUAAAUCCAAAUCUGUGAUCUUCCUUAUGGUUUUAUGUGGACCAAAUACCUACCUACAUUUGGAAGUCAUCAAAUACGAAAGAUCUACCAGUACGAACAGCACAAAUUGUUUUAUGGGUUUGGGAAGUAUUUUUCAUGUAAGAUAAUAAAAUAAUAUCAAAAGUCGAAAAUGUA
Molecule: long non-coding RNA, 227 nt
Organism: Megalopta genalis
Lineage: Eukaryota; Metazoa; Arthropoda; Insecta; Hymenoptera; Halictidae
Source: RefSeq, a predicted model, not a curated record